This 1316-nucleotide ribosomal RNA is filed under the name Salmonella enterica subsp. enterica serovar Infantis. Its description in RNAcentral is "partial 23S ribosomal RNA". It matches the Rfam family "Bacterial large subunit ribosomal RNA", at positions 161 to 1518 of the family's 2925-position model. The record is from RNAcentral. Lineage: Bacteria; Pseudomonadati; Pseudomonadota; Gammaproteobacteria; Enterobacterales; Enterobacteriaceae.
AAUCCAUAGGUUAAUGAGGCGAACCGGGGGAACUGAAACAUCUAAGUACCCCGAGGAAAAGAAAUCAACCGAGAUUCCCCCAGUAGCGGCGAGCGAACGGGGAGGAGCCCAGAGCCUGAAUCAGCAUGUGUGUUAGUGGAAGCGUCUGGAAAGGCGCGCGAUACAGGGUGACAGCCCCGUACACAAAAGCGCAUGUGCUGUGAGCUCGAUGAGUAGGGCGGGACACGUGGUAUCCUGUCUGAAUAUGGGGGGACCAUCCUCCAAGGCUAAAUACUCCUGACUGACCGAUAGUGAACCAGUACCGUGAGGGAAAGGCGAAAAGAACCCCGGCGAGGGGAGUGAAAAAGAACCUGAAACCGUGUACGUACAAGCAGUGGGAGCACAGGUUUACCUGUGUGACUGCGUACCUUUUGUAUAAUGGGUCAGCGACUUAUAUUCUGUAGCAAGGUUAACCGAAUAGGGGAGCCGGAGGGAAACCGAGUCUUAAUUGGGCGUUAAGUUGCAGGGUAUAGACCCGAAACCCGGUGAUCUAGCCAUGGGCAGGUUGAAGGUUGGGUAACACUAACUGGAGGACCGAACCGACUAAUGUUGAAAAAUUAGCGGAUGACCUGUGGCUGGGGGUGAAAGGCCAAUCAAACCGGGAGAUAGCUGGUUCUCCCCGAAAGCUAUUUAGGUAGCGCCUCGUGAAUUCAUCUCCGGGGGUAGAGCACUGUUUCGGCUAGGGGGCCAUCCCGGCUUACCAACCCGAUGCAAACUGCGAAUACCGGAGAAUGUUAUCACGGGAGACACACGGCGGGUGCUAACGUCCGUCGUGAAGAGGGAAACAACCCAGACCGCCAGCUAAGGUCCCAAAGUCAUGGUUAAGUGGGAAACGAUGUGGGAAGGCCCAGACAGCCAGGAUGUUGGCUUAGAAGCAGCCAUCAUUUAAAGAAAGCGUAAUAGCUCACUGGUCGAGUCGGCCUGCGCGGAAGAUGUAACGGGGCUAAACCAUGCACCGAAGCUGCGGCAGCGACACUCAGGUGUUGUUGGGUAGGGGAGCGUUCUGUAAGCCUGCGAAGGUGGCCUGUGAGGGUUGCUGGAGGUAUCAGAAGUGCGAAUGCUGACAUAAGUAACGAUAAAGCGGGUGAAAAGCCCGCUCGCCGGAAGACCAAGGGUUCCUGUCCAACGUUAAUCGGGGCAGGGUGAGUCGACCCCUAAGGCGAGGCCGAAAGGCGUAGUCGAUGGGAAACGGGUUAAUAUUCCCGUACUUGGUGUUACUGCGAAGGGGGGACGGAGAAGGCUAUGUUGGCCGGGCGACGGUUGUCCCGGUUUAAGCG